Molecule: microRNA, 23 nt
Filed under: Octopus vulgaris (common octopus)
Lineage: Eukaryota; Metazoa; Mollusca; Cephalopoda; Octopoda; Octopodidae
Also listed under: 1 other name
Description: Ovu-Mir-12567_3p (mature (guide))
Source: RNAcentral
AAAGCAAGUUUUGAUGGAGUUGC